AGCAGUAGCCACGGGAAUACAGAGGGUGCGAGCGUUAAUCGGAUUUACUGGGCGUAAAGCGUGCGUAGGCGGCUUUUUAAGUCGGAUGUGAAAUCCCUGAGCUUAACUUAGGAAUUGCAUUCGAUACUGGGAAGCUAGAGUAUGGGAGAGGAUGGUAGAAUUCCAGGUGUAGCGGUGAAAUGCGUAGAGAUCUGGAGGAAUACCGAUGGCGAAGGCAGCCAUCUGGCCUAAUACUGACGCUGAGGUACGAAAGCAUGGGGAGCAAACAGGAUUAGAUACCCGCGUAGUCCCUGUCUCUUAUAA
This 303-nucleotide ribosomal RNA is filed under the name uncultured bacterium. RNAcentral describes it as "partial 16S ribosomal RNA". It matches the Rfam family "Bacterial small subunit ribosomal RNA", at positions 507 to 809 of the family's 1533-position model. The record is from RNAcentral.